RNAcentral lists this ribosomal RNA (501 nucleotides) under uncultured bacterium. Its description in RNAcentral is "bacterial SSU rRNA". It matches the Rfam family "Bacterial small subunit ribosomal RNA", at positions 29 to 487 of the family's 1533-position model. The record is from RNAcentral.
AUUGAACGCUGGCGGCAUGCUUUACACAUGCAAGUCGAACGGCAGCACAGCAGAGGUAACUCUGUGGGUGGCGAGUGGCGAACGGGUGAGUAAUACAUCGGAACGUACCCUGUUGUGGGGGAUAACUACGCGAAAGCGUAGCUAAUACCGCAUACGCCCUGAGGGGGAAAGCGGGGGACCCUAAAUAGAGCGCACUGGGGAGUGCGUUGUAUUUAGGGCCUCGCGCAAUAGGAGCGGCCGAUGUCGGAUUAGCUAGUUGGUGAGGUAAAGGCUUACCAAGGCGACGAUCCGUAGCUGGUCUGAGAGGAUGAUCAGCCACACUGGGACUGAGACACGGCCCAGACUCCUACGGGAGGCAGCAGUGGGGAAUAUUGGGCAAUGGGCGCAAGCCUGACCCAGCCAUGCCGCGUGAGUGACGAAGGCCUUAGGGUUGUAAAGCUCUUUCGGCGGGGAAAAAUCGCCUCUCCUAAUACGGGGGGUGGAUGAUGGUACCGGACUAAG